GAUCCUGGCUUAGGAUGAACGCUAGCUACAGGCUUAACACAUGCAAGUCGAGGGGCAGCAUUGGAGUAGCAAUACUCAGAUGGCGACCGGCGCACGGGUGAGUAACACGUAUCCAACCUGCCGCUUACUCGGGGAUAGCCUUUCGAAAGAAAGAUUAAUACCCGAUGGUAUAAAGAGUUCGCAUGUUCUCUUUAUUAAAGAAUUUCGGUAAGCGAUGGGGAUGCGUUCCAUUAGAUAGUUGGCGGGGUAACGGCCCACCAAGUCUACGAUGGAUAGGGGUUCUGAGAGGAAGGUCCCCCACAUUGGAACUGAGACACGGUCCAAACUCCUACGGGAGGCAGCAGUGAGGAAUAUUGGUCAAUGGACGAGAGUCUGAACCAGCCAAAAGUAGCGUGAAGGAUGACUGCCCUAUGGGUUGUAAACUUCUUUUAUAAGGGAAUAAAGUGAGGGACGUGUCCCUUUUUGUAUGUACCUUAUGAAUAAGGAUCGGCUAACUCCGUGCCAGCCGCGGC
This 512-nucleotide ribosomal RNA is filed under the name uncultured bacterium. RNAcentral's name for it is "bacterial SSU rRNA". It matches the Rfam family "Bacterial small subunit ribosomal RNA", at positions 15 to 518 of the family's 1533-position model. The record is from RNAcentral.